RNAcentral lists this ribosomal RNA (301 nucleotides) under uncultured bacterium. Its description in RNAcentral is "partial 16S ribosomal RNA". It matches the Rfam family "Bacterial small subunit ribosomal RNA", at positions 509 to 807 of the family's 1533-position model. The record is from RNAcentral.
CAGCCGCCACGGUAAAACGUAGGGUGCAAGCGUUAAUCGGAAUUACUGGGCGUAAAGCGUGCGCAGGCGGUUAUGUAAGACAGUUGUGAAAUUCCCGGGCUCAACCUGGGAACUGCAUCUGUGACUGCAUAGCUAGAGUACGGUAGAGGGGGAUGGAAUUCCGCGUGUAGCAGUGAAAUGCGUAGAUAUGUGGAGGAACACCGAUGGCGAAGGCAGCCCCCUGGGCUAAGAUUGACGCUCAUGCACGAAAGCGUGGGGAGCAAACAGGAUUAGAUACCCGGGUAGUCCCUGUCUCUUAUAC